GUCCUGAGCAUUAGUGCACAUGGGAUUAGAUGCCAAGGGAUAGCAUAACUUGAGAAUCUUUUUCUUUUUUUCAGGGCAGGGCUGCAGGUUGGGACCUUACCUGGACCUCUCAACUAGAACACCUACACAGCAUGGAGGCUGGAUUCUGAGGAAGAGCAUCCUGAAAGAGAGAGUCAGCUGGAAGCUGUGUCACCAUUUCUACACCCUCCUGGGAAGUCACACAAAGGAUGCUUCCUUUCUGAUGCGUUCUGUUGGCUAGAAGCAAGUCACUAAAGGAAAAGGGAAUUACACUCCAACUUUUGAUAGAAGACUGUCAAAGAUUUUUCAUAUGUUUUAAAACUACCACUUUCCAAUGGGAUACAAGUGGAACAAAGAAUAAGCAUAGGUUUUCUUUUGUAAUCAGAGAGACUGGUACACAUUAGUAGAAAUAAACAAGUGAAAGAAAGAAAUCUAAAUAUGUAUUAGAUUCUGAUGUGAGUGAAAGGCCAUUUCAAGACUGAAUACGUUGGUUGAUGUUUUGUGGUUCUGUGAACAUGGUCUUAUUAUUAUAUGCAUUUAGCGAUGUCAUUCAAUUACUAAUGAAGUAUCCUGCUUCUUACAUACCAUUAUUCCUCAG
RNAcentral lists this long non-coding RNA (616 nucleotides) under Equus caballus (horse). RNAcentral describes it as "lncRNA (ENSECAG00000056704.1)". The record is from RNAcentral. Lineage: Eukaryota; Metazoa; Chordata; Mammalia; Perissodactyla; Equidae.